GAAAAAUACUCUGGAUUUUCAGGGUCCCCACACCUUAAAUCUGACAUGUAAUCUUCAGCAGCAUUUUCCAAUUCCUCAUGACUGCAAUUAUUCAGUAAAUCCACAGGGAAUGCCAUCCUCUCCACUCUGAGCUGAGGUUGAGUAUGACCAAAAUGAAGUAACUGAACAGACUGCUACAACUAUCCAAAUUUCAGGAAGGUCUCAACCUCGUUCAGCAAUCUCUUUCUGCUCUCUCUGACGCGUCCUGCGAGCCGCCGGUGCCCGAGCAAGGAGGCGGAGCCGCGCGAAUGAAUGGAGCCUGCGGCUGCUCGCUGGCGACCCCCGGCCGAUUCCCGGCCGCGCUGCCCGGGCGGGUACGGCGCCUUCUGCCCCUAGCCCGCGACGCCGGGCUCCUCGUCGCGGGUCGGCCGCAGCCCACCGUGCCCUCCGCCGGCGUGACGCACUCGCGCCGCAGCGCCUCCAGCCCUCGCAGCCGCGCCCACCCCAUAUAAAUACCUUAUCAUUUAAAUUUUUACCUGUUCCCAAUGGUUUAAAGCUCCUACAUUUAUACGUAGUUCCAUAGCCAAACAAAUAUCUUGUUCAACCUAGUACUCUAACGUUCUAAGAAGACACAUGUUUUGGAAAAUAUAUUCAGAGGGAGCAUCCAGCCUUCUGAUUUUCUUCAGUCUGUUCUGACCAACACUCAGAUGAGAAGGAAUGUAGACCUCUCUGAGAUCAUCUGAGGCUGCUGGGAACGGGAAUGAGUGAAAAGCAUCAUGACCUCCACUUGGGAAGGGGCAAUAAAGUCAGCUUCAGAAACUAGCAUGCCUCCACAGAACUGCUCUGGCUUCUGAGAGAGCCCAAGCUCUGAGAUACUUUCUGCACCCACCACCAACCCAUCUGCUCCUACUUGUCUUGCGGCUGACACCCAGAGUCCUUUUCUUCUUGAAUUGCCAAGACUACUAAGGUUCUGCUUAGCCACGUGUAAACAGAAAUUGGUCUAGAAUUUUACCUUCCCUUUUUCAAGUAUAAUUUCUUUCCAGUCUUUUUACCUUAGCCUUUCUUUUAAGGUAGUCAUUGUUUCCGUCUCACUAGGUAUAUUGUAAUCAAUAAUAAAAUCCACUGCAUAAUUUCAACUAUCAAUUCUACUGCUGUAAGCAUUUAAAUAUGAGAUUUGUCCCUUUGCUUUAAUGAUGUCCUCUUUCUCUAAAACAGAUUUUCCUUAAGAAAGGUAGUUACAGCUUUCUUAAUAAAGCCAUUACAUAAAAGGACAGUGUCUCAAUUUGUGCUUACAGGUCUUCCACAAUAUAAAGAGAAGCGGAAAAGAAAUAAAGGCAAGUUGACCACAACUCCCCCAAGGUGCAACUAUAAAAUUUCUCUGCAUGUAUUUUACUAAUAACUGGUUGGGAUGCUAUCAGGAUGAGAUGUUGAAUUAUUGAAUUGCUGUCUUCAGACUCUAAUUCAUAGCCUACAUUUCAUUGCUUGCAGAGAAGAUAAAGGAAGCAGGAGGCGCACAGUAUGGAUUGAUUUGAAGUGACCUGUAUUUAAAAGCCUUGACAUCCUUGGAAAUGGAACAGUUCUGUGCCAUCAUGCAAGGGAUGUCUCUCCCUUCCUCAUCGAAGCAGCACAAAGCCAGCACUUCUAUAGGAUCUGACUUCUCAACUCCCGUCUUCCUAUUUUCCCAACACAACAGGGCAAUAUCCAUCCAGCGCUUGCUCCAUAUGACCUGCCUGCUGUCCCUGCCUUUCCUGUCUCCUAGGCUUCUUGCUUUUGUACUCAGAUUAAAUAUGAAAGGGUUGGCACUGGAGAAACAGAAAUCCGGGCUGAAAAGGAAAACUUAAAUCUUGCAGUGCCACCAGUUGUUCACAACCAUUAUUUAUGCUUAUAAUAGGACCUGAUAGAAACACAGCUACCCUGCUUCUGAUGGACCUACUUUAAUAUUAGUUUCAACACACACAUGUGCAACACACAGGGGGAGAGAAAGAAAAAAAAAACCUACCAGUAAUAAAUAAAGCAAAACAUUUUGUUCAAUUGAAAUAUGAGCAUUGCAAUUGAUUGGGAAAAGUCAGUUUUUUAAUUCUAAGAGCACACAUAUCAAUCAUGUUUGCCAGAAGAAGAACAAUAGUUAGGAAGGAGAACAUUAAAUGCACACUUAGAUACCACUGAACAUUUCAGGUGCAGGGCUACACAAAGGAACUAAGACAAUCAAUCCCACUGACCAUGAUCACAUACCAUGUACUAGAUAAGAUGCAUGAAGUUCUAGAAAGUUUCCUACAGAUGAGACCACAUUCUCAUCCCACUGGGUUAAGGAACAUGCCUCUUAUUUCAGAAAGGAAAUAGAAUUUUUCUAAAUUUCAGUCUUGUCUUGUCAUGAACUAUAUAUUCUAACUUUAUCUGCAUUUCUCUCUUCUUCUCUCCUUCUUCAUCUCUCCAUUCAGCAGCAUUUCAAAGAGUGCUUCUUCUCCAAAAACCAGCCCACUUUAUGUGUUAGAUAUAAACUUCCUAAGUAUUUUUGCUUAUAAAUCUUUCCUCUCAUAUUUUUUUAGAUAAAAAUACUUUUUUCCCUGACCGGCUCAAGAGGCUGAGUCAGGAGGAUCACAAGUUCAGUGCUAGCCUCAGCAAAAG
Ictidomys tridecemlineatus (thirteen-lined ground squirrel) is the source of this 2604-nucleotide non-coding RNA. The record is from RefSeq and is a predicted model, not a curated record. NCBI's taxonomy places the organism in Eukaryota, Metazoa, Chordata, Mammalia, Rodentia, Sciuridae.